CGCGAGCUUGAGCAAGGUCCCAUCCCUGUCCCUUUUUCCUUAACUGUUGAAGCGAUCCCCUCGACCCUACGCGCCUCCCACAGUGGAAGAGAUGCAGAAAAUCCACAAGAGAAGUGCUUGAUAAGAUAGAAGGCAACUGUCACAGCGAGGGCUGUUACUACAAGGUCGCUUGGAGCAUGUUCCAGGUUUCCCAGAUCACUAGACGAAGGCUGCUUUCCAGGACGUGGGGAAUCCCAGCAGCACUGGGGAGACCGAACUGCUGGGGCCUCUGGGGAAGACUUAGGACUUAGAAGCAAUAGUGGCUGUGGACUCCAGGGCUGGCUUGGGAACAAGGACGAAGCUCAGCAAUUAUCUCCGUGCCGCCACUCACACUGAGGCAGCACCAACAUCUGGAGUCACCUUCAUUAAGCACCUACUGCCGGACACUGGACUUGGUACUUUACAAAUGUAUUCUGUCUAAUCCCAGCAUCCCUGUUUGUUAGGCAUCAUUAUCCCAAUUUUAUAGAUGGGAAAACCAAGACAGAGAUUUCAUAAUCUCUCUAAGACACUGAGCGAGGCUGCGGAGGAGUUCACAGUGGAACCCAAGUCCGCCUUACUCUGAAACAUGUGUUCUUGCCACUUUCAGACUGCCCUACUUUGCUUUUUAAAGAAACGAUUUUGUGACCCAAAUAAAUCUAAUUGGUGACAUAUCUA
Long non-coding RNA from Lemur catta (Ring-tailed lemur), 693 nucleotides. RefSeq lists it as uncharacterized. The record is from RefSeq and is a predicted model, not a curated record. NCBI's taxonomy places the organism in Eukaryota, Metazoa, Chordata, Mammalia, Primates, Lemuridae. The transcript has 2 exons.